Molecule: transfer RNA, 74 nt
Organism: Thermoplasmatales archaeon I-plasma
Lineage: Archaea; Methanobacteriati; Thermoplasmatota; Thermoplasmata; Thermoplasmatales
Rfam family: tRNA
About the family: Transfer RNA (tRNA) molecules are approximately 80 nucleotides in length. Their secondary structure includes four short double-helical elements and three loops (D, anti-codon, and T loops). Further hydrogen bonds mediate the characteristic L-shaped molecular structure. tRNAs have two regions of fundamental functional importance: the anti-codon, which is responsible for specific mRNA codon recognition, and the 3' end, to which the tRNAs corresponding amino acid is attached (by aminoacyl-tRNA synthetases). tRNAs cope with the degeneracy of the genetic code in two manners: having more than one tRNA (with a specific anti-codon) for a particular amino acid; and 'wobble' base-pairing, i.e. permitting non-standard base-pairing at the 3rd anti-codon position.
Source: Rfam
GGGCUUGUAGUGUAAUCUGGAUAGCACAGAAGCCUCCGGAGCUUCUAAUUCGGGUUCAAAUCCCGACAAGCCCG